UAGGGAAUCUUCGGCAAUGGGGGGAACCCUGACCGAGCAACGCCGCGUGAGUGAAGAAGGUUUUCGGAUCGUAAAGCUCUGUUGUUAAGGAAGAACGAGUGUGAGAAUGGAAAGUUCAUGCUGUGACGGUACUUAACCAGAAAGGGACGGCUAACUACGUGCCAGCAGCCGCGGUAAUACGUAGGUCCCGAGCGUUGUCCGGAUUUAUUGGGCGUAAAGCGAGCGCAGGCGGUUAGAAAAGUCUGAAGUGAAAGGCAGUGGCUCAACCAUUGUAGGCUUUGGAAACUGUUUAACUUGAGUGCAGAAGGGGAGAGUGGAAUUCCAUGUGUAGCGGUGAAAUGCGUAGAUAUAUGGAGGAACACCGGUGGCGAAAGCGGCUCUCUGGUCUGUAACUGACGGUGAGGCUCGAAAGCGUGGGGAGCGAACAGG
This 429-nucleotide ribosomal RNA is filed under the name Bacteroidota bacterium. RNAcentral's name for it is "Bacteroidetes bacterium partial 16S ribosomal RNA". It matches the Rfam family "Bacterial small subunit ribosomal RNA", at positions 355 to 776 of the family's 1533-position model. The record is from RNAcentral. Lineage: Bacteria; Pseudomonadati; Bacteroidota.